AGUGAACGCUGGCGGCAGGCCUAACACAUGCAAGUCGAGCGGCAGCGCGGGGCAACCUGGCGGCGAGCGGCGGACGGGUGAGGAAUGCGUCGGAAUCUGCCUUUUUGUGGGGGAUAACGUAGGGAAACUUACGCUAAUACCGCAUACGACCUACGGGUGAAAGUGGGGGACCGCAAGGCCUCACGCAGAAAGAUGAGCCGACGCCCGAUUAGCUAGUUGGUGAGGUAAAGGCUCACCAAGGCGACGAUCGGUAGCUGGUCUGAGAGGAUGAUCAGCCACACUGGGACUGAGACACGGCCCAGACUCCUACGGGAGGCAGCAGUGGGGAAUAUUGGACAAUGGGCGCAAGCCUGAUCCAGCCAUGCCGCGUGUGUGAAGAAGGCCUUCGGGUUGUAAAGCACUUUUGUCCGGAAAGAAAUCCCAAAGGUUAAUACCUUUUGGGGAUGACGGUACCGGAAGAAUAAGCACCGGCUAACUUCGUG
RNAcentral lists this ribosomal RNA (482 nucleotides) under uncultured bacterium. Its description in RNAcentral is "bacterial SSU rRNA". It matches the Rfam family "Bacterial small subunit ribosomal RNA", at positions 29 to 507 of the family's 1533-position model. The record is from RNAcentral.